RNAcentral lists this ribosomal RNA (616 nucleotides) under uncultured Actinomycetes bacterium. Its description in RNAcentral is "bacterial SSU rRNA". It matches the Rfam family "Bacterial small subunit ribosomal RNA", at positions 99 to 712 of the family's 1533-position model. Lineage: Bacteria; Bacillati; Actinomycetota; Actinomycetes. The record is from RNAcentral.
CGAACGGGUGAGUAACACGUGAGUAACCUGCCCCCUUCUUUUGGAUAACCGCAUGAAAGUGUGGCUAAUACAGGAUAAUCCAGGCUGGUCGCAUGAUUGGUUUGGGAAAUGGUUUGGUCUGGUGGGGGAUGGGCUCGCGGCCUAUCAGCUUGUUGGUGGGGUGAUGGCCUACCAAGGCGGUGACGGGUAGCCGGCCUGAGAGGGUGGGCGGUCACACUGGGACUGAGAUACGGCCCAGACUCCUACGGGAGGCAGCAGUGGGGGAUUUUGCACAAUGGGCGCAAGCCUGAUGCAGCGACGCCGCGUGAGGGAUGAAGGCCUUCGGGUUGUAAACCUCUUUCGCUUGGUUGAAAGGCCAUGCUUUGGGUGUGGUUGAUUUGAACUGGUAAAGAAGUACCGGCUAACUACGUGCCAGCAGCCGCGGUAAUACGUAGGGUACUAGCGUUGUCCGGAUUUAUUGGGCGUAAAGGGCUUGUAGGUGGUUUGUCGCGUCUGUCGUGAAAUCCUGUGGCUUAACCAUGGGCUUGCGGUGGGUACGGGCAGGCUUGAGUGCGGUAGGGGAGACUGGAAUUCCUGGUGUAGCGGUGGAAUGCGCAGAUAUCAGGAGGAACACCGG